AGCGGCGGAUGGGUGAGUAACACGUGGGGAACCUGCCCCUAAGUCUGGGAUACCAUUUGGAAACAGGUGCUAAUACCGGAUAAUAAAGCAGAUCGCAUGAUCAGCUUUUGAAAGGCGGCGUAAGCUGUCGCUAAGGGAUGGCCCCGCGGUGCAUUAGCUAGUUGGUAAGGUAACGGCUUACCAAGGCGACGAUGCAUAGCCGAGUUGAGAGACUGAUCGGCCACAUUGGGACUGAGACACGGCCCAAACUCCUACGGGAGGCAGCAGUAGGGAAUCUUCCACAAUGGACGCAAGUCUGAUGGAGCAACGCCGCGUGAGUGAAGAAGGUUUUCGGAUCGUAAAGCUCUGUUGUUGGUGAAGAAGGAUAGAGGUAGUAACUGGCCUUUAUUUGACGGUAAUCAACCAGAAAGUCACGGCUAACUACGUGCCAGCAGCCGCGGUAAUACGUAGGUGGCAAGCGUUGUCCGGAUUUAUUGGGCGUAAAGCGAGCGCAGGCGGAAAAAUAAGUCUAAUGUGAAAGCCCUCGGCUUAACCGAGGAACUGCAUCGGAAACUGUUUUUCUUGAGUGCAGAAGAGGAGAGUGGAACUCCAUGUGUAGCGGUGGAAUGCGUAGAUAUAUGGAAGAACACCAGUGGCGAACGCGGCUCUCUGGUCAGCAACUGACGCUGAGGCUCGAAAGCAUGGGUAGCGAACAGGAUUAGAUACCCUGGUAGUCCAUGCCGUAAACGAUGAGUGCUAAGUGU
RNAcentral lists this ribosomal RNA (743 nucleotides) under uncultured bacterium. RNAcentral describes it as "bacterial SSU rRNA". It matches the Rfam family "Bacterial small subunit ribosomal RNA", at positions 94 to 823 of the family's 1533-position model. The record is from RNAcentral.